UAGUCUUACCGGUGGAUCACUCGGCUCGUGGGUCGAUGAAGAUCGCAGCCAAAUGCGAUAGUUAGUGUGAACUGCAGAUAUUCUGAGCACUAAGGCAUCGAAUGUGCAUUACGCCUUGGGACUAAAAUCCCUUGGCGCGCCUGGUUCAGGGUCAU
Molecule: ribosomal RNA, 155 nt
Filed under: Gracilacus aculentus
Lineage: Eukaryota; Metazoa; Nematoda; Chromadorea; Rhabditida; Tylenchulidae
Also listed under: 1 other name
Description: 5.8S ribosomal RNA
Rfam family: 5.8S ribosomal RNA
About the family: 5.8S ribosomal RNA (5.8S rRNA) is a component of the large subunit of the eukaryotic ribosome. It is transcribed by RNA polymerase I as part of the 45S precursor that also contains 18S and 28S rRNA.
Source: RNAcentral